This is a long non-coding RNA of Bubalus bubalis (water buffalo), 3738 nucleotides long. RefSeq lists it as uncharacterized. The transcript is spliced from 3 exons. NCBI's taxonomy places the organism in Eukaryota, Metazoa, Chordata, Mammalia, Artiodactyla, Bovidae. The record is from RefSeq and is a predicted model, not a curated record.
UGUUGUCAUUUGGCUGCUACAGAAGCUGAGGCCUAGAGAACAGGUUGAGCUCAAGGCCACGGAGUUCAUAAGCAUUGGCGCCAAAACACAAACCCAGGCUAGGGUAUGGAAUAUUCAGUAGCCAUGUGAGUCUAUUUCAGGAUACCAAGUCCUGGGCUCAAGGGAAGUGAAUUGUCCACUGACAGUUUUGGCUAAAGGGAUCAGUGGACCCUUUGGAAAUUUAGCACUUAAAGUUCCUGGCGCCUGGGACUCUGCUAGAUGCUGUGGGGACCCUCACAGGGCGAGAAGACACAGUUACUUCCGGAAGCUCACAGUGUAGUUAAGAGAACAACUCACAUGCAAGAGCCUCUUAUGACUCACAUGGACUUGCUGAGAGGUUUGUUCUGUGGGUCCCUGUGUGUGAGAGUCUGUGUUGGUGUGAGUGUUUAUGAGUGUCCGUGUAUGUGUACAUGUGUGUAACAGGAGCGGGGGUGUGAGAAGAGACGGCAGUGCUAAGGGGGUGGCGGUAGGAGAAGUGAUGAGACUGCAGAGCCCACUGAGGGGGCUGGGAGCCCACGGUCCUGCCUGGAUGGUGAGGCAAGAGGAUUCCUUGUGGAGGUGACACUCGAAGUCAAGUGGCAGCACCCUAGACUAUCUGGGGAGCUUGAAAAAAUAUCAGUGCUGAGAAUUCCCUAAUGGUCCAGCAGUUGGGACUCCUCGCUCUCACUGCUGAGGGCUUGGGUUCAAUCCCUAAUUGGGGAACUAAAAUCCUACAAGCUGCCUGCAAGUUGCAUAGUACAACCAAAAAAAAAAAAACAAACAAAAAAAAACACCCUGAAAUUCCCAAAAUACCAGUGUCUGAGCCCUACCCACAUGCUAAGUCACUUCAGUCGUGUCUGACUCUUUGCAAACCCUAUGAACCUCCCAGGCUCCUCUGCCAAUGGGAUUGUCCAGCCAAGAAUACUGGAGUGGGUUGCCAUUUCCUUCUCCAAGGGAAUCUUCCCAACCCAGGGAUCGAACCCAUGUCUCUUGUGUCUCCUGCAUUGGCAGGGAGAUUCUUUACCACUAGCGCCACCUGGGAUAGCCUACCUACAGAGACUCAUUUAACUGGACCAAGCCAGGGAUAGGAGAGAGACAAGUCAUUUUUAGAAGCCCUCUUCAUAAUUCUGCAAGUAUCUGGACUGAAAACUGUACAAGUACAUACUUUCCCAGCAUCUUCCAGACCUCUCUGUUUUGAAUCCAAACUGCAGAUCUUUCAACAGACUCCCUGGUGCUGGACCUUCUUGUUCUCUCUUUCCUGUGACUGAGAGGUCAGAUGACCAUGUAGACGCCUGCUAGGCAGGGCCACCACCUGCUGCUGUAAAUCUGAUGCACUUGCAUCAUCGCUCUGCCCCACGUAUCGUCAGUAUCUUGUAUCUACAUCUGGAUGGACCGUCUGUUGUUUCUGCCUUGUAGCAGUUUGUGCAGUCACAGGGGACGUGUGCUGUGUGCUGGUCCACCGCUGGGGCUUUUGUCCUGUAAAUAUAUGCUGGGGGCUGAGGGUGGUGAUGUGUCUUGAGUGUAAACCACCCACAAAAAGAUGCCAUGGAAUCAGCCAGUAGAACCUUGGGAGGGCUUUGUUCAGCUUUUUGGCAUCUCGAUCGGCAUCAAAACGCUGAUGACUUUUUGCUUUGGUAUCUCGACCAGCAUCCAAGCCUUGAUGACUUUUCUCUUUGGCCUACAAGAAAAAAUAAUUGCAAAGGUGAGUGGACAAUUUGUUGUUGUUGUUCAGUCAUUAAGUUGUGUCUGACUCUUUGGGCAUUAAAAAUGAUAUCUGGCUGAAAUUGGCAGCUAAAAGGAAGACCAAGCAGACACCCAGAUGAGGGAACAGCUGCUGCUGUACACAUGGGUACGUGUGGAAAUCAGCUGGGGAAGCUCUGGCUGCAGAGAGAUGGCUGGUACCUCCUGGAGCCAGCUGGACUCGGAUGCCCACAGAGAAUGGGCCCCUUUGUUCUCAGGGACAAUCAGCCUGGUCAGCUCUGGGAGGAGUGAUUUUCUCAUCGACUCCUCCUCUGUGUGUCUGUCUCCGAAACAGAGAGUAAUACAGUGGGCCAGUGUCUUGGAAUGCUGGUUUUUCCCCUUUGCCUUGAGACACAGCCUGUCUAGGGAAUAGUUGCUGCCUGCCAGAAACUGAGGAUUCUAGGAUCUUCUUACAGAUCCAUUUUGUAAGCUGGGCUAAAGCUUUACCAUUCACACAAUGAGAGACGUACUCUUUAAUUUGUCAGAGAUAACCCUAUGGAACAAAACAGGGGUAUUGGUUUUUACUGAUCCUUGGGAAGAGAAAGCUCUGUAUGUACACUCAUCUAAUGUUUCCCAUAUUUUAGUCAUUGGCAUAGUAUAUCCAGUAAAUGUCCACAGCUAUCUAGGUCUACAUUAUUAUUAUUUGCUUAUUAUUUUUCUCUCAAGUGACCUAGUUUGUUUUGCUUAAAGUUAGUUUCCAGAAAGAAACUUUCUGUUAGCACUGAAGUGGAAAACCAGUGUUGCUUGCUUAAACAGAAGGUAAGCAUAAAAAAAAUCAGUGCACUGCUAUUAAGAAUUUAAAGACGUGAGGUUAAUCACAAUUAUGCAACGAGUAGCUUUGAACACCCCCUGGCUUUUCUCAGCUCUUUAUCUCUCCUCAGAGACCUUCUUUAAUGACAAGCAUCACUUAUUUGCCAUCCUUCCGGGAAAGUUGGCGUAAGUGUUACUGUCUACACUCCCCGAUUCUCCUCUCCCUCCUUUCGUUUCUGUGGGCGCCUAUUGGGAAUGAGCAGUAAACCACACAAAGCACAGAGGAGGACUGCAUUCAUCUGCUGGCAGCUCUGUCCUUUGAGGACUUCCCCUCCCCUAUUCCAUGCGGCCGCACUGGGGCUGUCAGUCAUGAGGCUUGAGCUCCGUUGUCCUGCCCUUGGGUGGACAUGCACUCUGUCACUCAGGCAGUAGUGACUGGUUCUGGAGUGGGGAUGUAAUCCAAGCAGGAUCAGUUAGAAAUUUCCCUGCUUUGAUAUAUGGAUAUUGGGAGAGAGAUGUCUCUCCCUGCCAGGUUUGCUAAGCUGACUGAGCAUGAGUGUAGGGUGUGUUGGUAGCCAUGUGGUCCACUCCAUGAAGGAAGCGUGGGUUCAGUAUGGAGCAAAGCAAAGGCAAUCAGAGUGGAAAUACAGAGACAGAGAGAGAGAAUAUAACUAGGGGCUGGAGGAGGGCUGACUUUUAGGUUUUGGUUAAUGGAGAACCGUAUAAUUUUAGAGACGAAGGGAUAUCAGGACCUCCCCCCCCCCCAUUGCCUUUUGGAAUGUAGUGUAUAGCCCAUCCCCCCCGCCCCAUUUUUUGACCCCGUGUGACGUGAGGGAUCUUAGUUCCCCAACCAGGGAUCAAACCCACACUCCCUGCAGUAGAAGCACCGUGUCUUAACCCGUGGACCUUUAGGGAAGUCCUACCUGGCCCAUCUUCAAGUUUCUAUUCCUGAAACAAGCUGGAGAGGGACUCAUAUUUGUUGAGCACCUGCCACAUGCUAGACGACUCCUUCACUGACAGACCUUUCUUCACAGGGGAGAGUGGGCGUUAGUCAUCUGAUUUACAGAGGAGGAAGCCUGGGUUCACGCGGGUCAGAGCACCUAUCUGUGUUCUUGCAGGAUGCAUGUGUGCACCAGCUCAAUUUGUCUCCUAAAGCCCAUGCUCUUGUGUCUCCUGCACCAUCUUCCGUGUGUGCGUGCUCAGUCACUUCAGUCGUAUCCAACUCUGUGC